This 216-nucleotide ribosomal RNA is filed under the name Glomeromycotina sp. RNAcentral's name for it is "partial small subunit ribosomal RNA". The stretch from base 87 to 216 matches the Rfam family "Eukaryotic small subunit ribosomal RNA", at positions 733 to 864 of the family's 1831-position model. The record is from RNAcentral. Lineage: Eukaryota; Fungi; Glomeromycota.
GGGUCAGUAGGUUGGUCGUGCCACCGGUACGUACUGGUCUCACUGAUUCCUCCUUCCUGAAGAACCGUAAUGCCACUAAUUUGGUGUUGCGGGGAAACAGGACUGUUACUUUGAAAAAAUUAGAGUGUUUAGAGCAAGCUAACGCUUGAAUACAUUAGCAUGGAAUAAUGAAAUAGGACGAUCGAUCCUAUUUUGUUGGUUUCUAGGAUUGACGUA